This 253-nucleotide unclassified non-coding RNA is filed under the name uncultured Gammaproteobacteria bacterium. RNAcentral's name for it is "contains 16S-23S intergenic spacer region". It matches the Rfam family "Bacterial small subunit ribosomal RNA", at positions 524 to 776 of the family's 1533-position model. The record is from RNAcentral. Lineage: Bacteria; Pseudomonadati; Pseudomonadota; Gammaproteobacteria.
UACAGAGAGUGCAAGCGUUAAUCGGAAUUACUGGGCGUAAAGCGCGCGUAGGUGGGUGCUUAAGUCGGAUGUGAAAGCCCUGGGCUUAACCUAGGAAUAGCAUCUGAUACUGGGCAUCUAGAGUGUGGUAGAGGGAAGUGGAAUUUCCGGUGUAGCGGUGAAAUGCGUAGAUAUCGGAAAGAACACCAGUGGCGAAGGCGGCUUCCUGGACCAACACUGACACUGAGGCGCGAAAGCGUGGGGAGCAAACAGG